AAACUAACAAGGAUUCCCCUAGUAACUGCGAGUGAAGCGGGAAAAGCUCAAAUUUAAAAUCUGGCGGUCUUUGGCCGUCCGAGUUGUAGUCUGGAGAAGUGCUUUCCGCGCUGGACCGUGUACAAGUCUCUUGGAACAGAGCGUCAUAGAGGGUGAGAAUCCCGUCUUUGACACGGACUACCAGUGCUUUGUGAUGCGCUCUCAAAGAGUCGAGUUGUUUGGGAAUGCAGCUCAAAAUGGGUGGUAAAUUCCAUCUAAAGCUAAAUAUUGGCGAGAGACCGAUAGCGAACAAGUACCGUGAGGGAAAGAUGAAAAGCACUUUGGAAAGAGAGUUAAACAGUACGUGAAAUUGCUGAAAGGGAAACGCUUGAAGUCAGUCGCGUUGGCCAGGACUCAGCCUUGCUUUAGCUUGGUGCAUUUUCUGGUUGACGGGCCAGCAUCGAUUUCGGUCGUCGGAUAAAGGUUGGGGGAAUGUGGCAUCUUCGGAUGUGUUAUAGCCCUCAGUCACAUACGACGGCUGGGAUCGAGGACCGCAGCACGCCUUUAUGGCCGGGGUUCGCCCACGUUCGUGCUUAGGAUGCUGGCAUAAUGGCUUUAAACGACCCGUCUUGAAACACGGACCAAGGAGUCUAACAUGCCUGCGAGUGUUUGGGUGGAAAACCCGAGCGCGUAAUGAAAGUGAAAGUUGAGAUCCCUGUCGCGGGGAGCAUCGACGCCCGGACCUGACCUUCUGUGAUGGAUCUGCGGUAGAGCAUGUAUGUUGGGACCCGAAAGAUGGUGAACUAUGCCUGAAUAGGGUGAAGCCAGAGGAAACUCUGGUGGAGGCUCGUAGCGAUUCUGACGUGCAAAUCGAUCGUCAAAUUUGGGUAUAGGGGCGAAAGACUAAUCGAACCAUCUAGUAGCUGGUUCCUG
Molecule: ribosomal RNA, 912 nt
Filed under: Antrodia favescens
Lineage: Eukaryota; Fungi; Basidiomycota; Agaricomycetes; Polyporales; Fomitopsidaceae
Description: LSU rRNA
Rfam family: Eukaryotic large subunit ribosomal RNA
Source: RNAcentral